This is a long non-coding RNA of Notothenia coriiceps (black rockcod), 515 nucleotides long. RefSeq lists it as uncharacterized. The transcript has 3 exons. Lineage: Eukaryota; Metazoa; Chordata; Actinopteri; Perciformes; Nototheniidae. The record is from RefSeq and is a predicted model, not a curated record.
AAUAGUUAUCUCUUGUGUUCCUUGCAGGAGAGAGAGGCCCUGAGAGUCAUCCUUCUGAAGGAGAUUCACAAGGUGCAAGAGUGCAAACAGAGUGAUCUGAUGAUGAGGGACAACCUGUUUGAAAUGGUCACCAGUUCCAGAACCUUCUACAUGCAGGCUGACAGUCCAGAGGACAUGCACAGCUGGAUUAAGGCCAUCUCAGGGGCCAUCGUAGCUCAGCGAGGCCCCGGACGCUCCGCUAACACUGUAGGUACACACAAAAGGGAAAACACGUAGGUAAACUAACAAAGGAAAACAGUGUAGGUACACACACAAGGGAAAACACGGAGGUAAACUAACAAAGGAAAACACUGUAGGUACACACACAAGGGAAAACACGGAGGUAAACUAACAAAGGAAAACACUGUAGGUACACACACAAGGGAAAACACGGAGGUAAACUAACAAAGGAAAAUACUGUAGGUACACUAACAAGGGAAAACACUGUAGGUACACUAACAAGGGAACACACUGUA